GCCGGUGUAGCUCAGUAGGUAGAGCAGCGCAUUCGUAAUGCGAAGGUCGGGGGUUCGACUCCUCUCACCGGCA
Molecule: transfer RNA, 73 nt
Filed under: Stutzerimonas stutzeri
Lineage: Bacteria; Pseudomonadati; Pseudomonadota; Gammaproteobacteria; Pseudomonadales; Pseudomonadaceae
Also listed under: 3 other names
Description: Pseudomonas stutzeri tRNA-Thr
Rfam family: tRNA
About the family: Transfer RNA (tRNA) molecules are approximately 80 nucleotides in length.
Source: RNAcentral